GACGAACGCUGGCGGCGUGCCUAAUACAUGCAAGUAGAACGCUGAAGGAGGAGCUUGCUUCUCCGGAUGAGUUGCGAACGGGUGAGUAACGCGUAGGUAACCUGCCUGGUAGCGGGGGAUAACUAUUGGAAACGAUAGCUAAUACCGCAUAAGAGUAGAUGUCGCAUGACAUUUGCUUAAAAGGUGCAACUGCACCACUACCAGAUGGACCUGCGUUGUAUUAGCUAGUUGGUGAGGUAACGGCUCACCAAGGCAACGAUACAUAGCCGACCUGAGAGGGUGAUCGGCCACACUGGGACUGAGACACGGCCCAGACUCCUACGGGAGGCAGCAGUAGGGAAUCUUCGGCAAUGGACGGAAGUCUGACCGAGCAACGCCGCGUGAGUGAAGAAGGUUUUCGGAUCGUAAAGCUCUGUUGUAAGAGAAGAACGAGUGUGAGAGUGGAAAGUACACACUGUGACGGUAUCUUACCAGAAAGGGACGGCUAACUACGUG
This 495-nucleotide ribosomal RNA is filed under the name uncultured bacterium. Its description in RNAcentral is "partial 16S ribosomal RNA". It matches the Rfam family "Bacterial small subunit ribosomal RNA", at positions 28 to 507 of the family's 1533-position model. The record is from RNAcentral.